GCAGGCAGGAACCCCAUCUCCUUGACUUUACUUUGGAAUCCCCGCAGCCUCAUACGGGGCUGAGGCAGGUCCUUCCGUAAAAUGGAACUGAAUGAGCGGCGCUUAAUCCAUCCGCCAAAGGCCAGUCUCCCUUGGGUUUUCAACAGUGCAAUGAGCUUCAUGCUGAAUACUGAUUUGAAGUGUGGUUCACCACACAGACUUAAAUUGUCCUUCCCACAACUUUAUCUGAGAAGCAUGACAACGGUGACAAUCACAGGACUAGUUUUAUUGGAGCUGAUGUUUACUAGAAUUGAACAUGGGUCAUGCAAGAAGCACUGAGUCAAGAUUGGCUGGGACUGCGGAAUCCUCUCUCUCCUGCAGGAAUCCCAUCCACACGCUCCUGGUUCACUUUCAUCAUCUGAAGGACCUCUUCGUACCUAGAUUCUACUUGUUAUGUGCAGUUUAUUUUGGUUCUAAAGGUCAGAGGCAAAUAUUAAUAAAGGCAUUUGCAGCCUUU
RNAcentral lists this long non-coding RNA (496 nucleotides) under Homo sapiens (human). Its description in RNAcentral is "HSALNT0216130". The record is from RNAcentral. Lineage: Eukaryota; Metazoa; Chordata; Mammalia; Primates; Hominidae.